CCACUGCAUUAUGAUAUUGGUGAGUUGGUCGUUUCGACAAUUCAAUCAAUCAGAUGUGCUUCCUACACAAAAUCCUUGCUUCAGAUCGCAGAUUGUAUCGUAGUCCUAAUUCUUAAUGCAUACAAAUACAGUCAUACGUAAGAAAUAUGAUGGAAAGGGCUUAAGGGCGGCCAGAUAAGCCUAAAACGGUGGGGGGGGGAUUGAUGAAAUCCAUUCCCACUGGCCAUUAUUGAAAAAGAAACGAAGAGAAAAACCGGAGAAGAAGAAGAAGAAGAACCCACCUGCAAUCCUAAAUAAUCGGUGCCGAAAUCUAAACGGUCGAUAAUAUUCUGGCUGACGGCGACAUACCUGAGUAACCUGGCCGAAAUAAUUUGGAAAUUUAGAG
Molecule: long non-coding RNA, 385 nt
Filed under: Zostera marina
Lineage: Eukaryota; Viridiplantae; Streptophyta; Magnoliopsida; Alismatales; Zosteraceae
Description: long non-coding RNA (ZMAR_LNC006017)
Source: RNAcentral